AGAGGGGGAUAACAUCCGGAAACGGGUGCUAAUACCGCAUAGGUGAUCAUAGCGCAUGCUUAGAUCAUUAAAGAUGGCUUCGGCUAUCGCUUAUGGAUGGCCCCGCGGCGUAUUAGCUAGUUGGUAAGGUAAUGGCUUACCAAGGCUGUGAUACGUAGCCGACCUGAGAGGGUGAUCGGCCACACUGGGACUGAGACACGGCCCAGACUCCUACGGGAGGCAGCAGUAGGGAAUCUUCCACAAUGGGCGAAAGCCUGAUGGAGCAAUGCCGCGUGAGUGAAGAAGGUCUUCGGAUCGUAAAGCUCUGUUAUCGGAGAAGAACACGGAGUGCAGUAACUGGCAUUCCGCUGACGGUAUCCGACCAGAAAGUCACGGCUAACUACGUGCCAGCAGCCGCGGUAAUACGUAGGUGACAAGCGUUGUCCGGAUUUAUUGGGCGUAAAGCGAGCGCAGGCGGUCUUUUAAGUCUGAUGUGAAAGCCCACGGCUCAACCGUGGAUGGUCAUUGGAAACUGGAAGACUUGAAUGCAGAAGAGGA
This 537-nucleotide ribosomal RNA is filed under the name uncultured bacterium. RNAcentral's name for it is "bacterial SSU rRNA". It matches the Rfam family "Bacterial small subunit ribosomal RNA", at positions 135 to 658 of the family's 1533-position model. The record is from RNAcentral.